GAACACUUCCAUGGGAGGGACAUCCACAACUUCCCUGGGUCUUCUGCUGGUGUCUUAUCACCUUCAUAGUAAAGAGGGAGUUAUGUUCUCAGGCUGUUCUCAGCUCUCCCCAGAGCCUUCUCUUCUCCGAGCUGAACAGCCACAACUUUCUCAGCCUGUCUUCAUAUGAGAGGUGUUCCAGCCUUCUGAUCUUAGUGUCUCUUCUCUGGACUCACUCUAACAGAUAUGAAUUCUGAAGUACAUGAGAGAGAAAAGGUAGCAAAACAGGUAAUUAAUCCUACCAGUCUAUCUGACAGUAAUAAAUUUCCA
Long non-coding RNA from Vidua chalybeata, 309 nucleotides. RefSeq lists it as uncharacterized. The record is from RefSeq and is a predicted model, not a curated record. The transcript is spliced from 3 exons. Lineage: Eukaryota; Metazoa; Chordata; Aves; Passeriformes; Viduidae.